UAGGUAUGCUUAGGGAGGAGCUUGCGUCACAUUAGUUAGUUGGUGGGGUAAAGGCCUACCAAGACUAUGAUGUGUAGCCGGGCUGAGAGGUUGAACGGCCACAUUGGGACUGAGACACGGCCCAAACUCCUACGGGAGGCAGCAGUAGGGAAUUUUCGGCAAUGGAGGAAACUCUGACCGAGCAACGCCGCGUGAACGAUGAAGUAUUACGGUACGUAAAGUUCUUUUAUUAGGGAAGAAUAAAUGAUGGAAAAAUCAUUCUGACGGUACCUAAUGAAUAAGCCCCGGCUAACUAUGUGCCAGCAGCCGCGGUAAUACAUAGGGGGCAAGCGUUAUCCGGAAUUAUUGGGCGUAAAGGGUGCGUAGGCGGUUAAAUAAGUUUAUGGUCUAAGUGCAAUGCUCAACAUUGUGAUGCUAUAAAAACUGUUUAGCUAGAGUAAGAUAGAGGCAAGUGGAAUUCCAUGUGUAGUGGUAAAAUGCGUAAAUAUAUGGAGGAACACCAGUAGCGAAGGCGGCUUGCUGGGUCUUUACUGACGCUGAGGCACGAAAGCGUGGGGAGCAAACAGGAUUAGAUACCCUGGUAGUCCACGCCGUAAACGAUGAGUACUAAACGUUGGGUAAAACCAGUGUUGAAGUUAACACAUUAAGUACUCCGCCUGAGUAGUACGUACGCAAGUAUGAAACUUAAAGGAAUUGACGGGACUCCGCACAAGCGGUGGAUCAUGUUGUUUAAUUCGAAGGUACCCGAAAAACCUUACCAGGUCUUGACAUGCUUCUGCAAAGCUGUAGAAACACAGUGGAGGUUAUCAGUUGCACAGGUGGUGCAUGGUUGUCGUCAGCUCGUGUCGUGAGAUGUUGGGUUAAGUCCCGCAACGAGCGCAGCCCUUAUUGUUAGUUACCAGCACGUAAUGGUGGGGACUUUAGCAAGACUGCCAGUGAUAAAUUGGAGGAAGGUGGGGACGACGUCAAAUCAUCAUGCCCCUUAUGACCUGGGCUACAAACGUGAUACAAUGGCUGUUACAAAGGGUAGCUGAAGCGCAAGUUUUUGGCGAAUCUCAAAAAAACAGUCUCAGUUCGGAUUGAAGUCUGCAACUCGACUUCAUGAAGU
This 1108-nucleotide ribosomal RNA is filed under the name Candidatus Phytoplasma zeae. Its description in RNAcentral is "bacterial SSU rRNA". It matches the Rfam family "Bacterial small subunit ribosomal RNA", at positions 210 to 1326 of the family's 1533-position model. Lineage: Bacteria; Bacillati; Mycoplasmatota; Mollicutes; Acholeplasmatales; Acholeplasmataceae. The record is from RNAcentral.